This 253-nucleotide ribosomal RNA is filed under the name uncultured bacterium. Its description in RNAcentral is "partial 16S ribosomal RNA". It matches the Rfam family "Bacterial small subunit ribosomal RNA", at positions 524 to 776 of the family's 1533-position model. The record is from RNAcentral.
UACGUAGGGUGCAAGCGUUGUCCGGAAUUAUUGGGCGUAAAGAGCUCGUAGGCGGUCCGUUAAGUCGGAAGUGAAAUCUCAAGGCUCAACCUUGAAAUCGCUCUCGAUACUGGCGGACUUGAGGCAGGUAGGGGAAGGUGGAAUUCCUGGUGUAGCGGUGAAAUGCGCAGAUAUCAGGAGGAACACCGGUGGCGAAGGCGGCCUUCUGGGCCUGUUCUGACGCUGAGGAGCGAAAGCGUGGGGAGCAAACAGG